Molecule: small RNA, 2390 nt
Filed under: Pongo abelii (Sumatran orangutan)
Lineage: Eukaryota; Metazoa; Chordata; Mammalia; Primates; Hominidae
Description: retained intron
Source: RNAcentral
GAGAGCGAGCGGUGCAUUUGCAUGUUGCGGAGUGAUUAGUGGGUUUGAAAAGCGAACCGUGGCUCGGCCUCAUUUCCCGCUCUGGUUCAGGCGCAGGAGGAAGUGUUUUGCUGGAGGAUGAUGACAGAGGAAUCUGAGAAUUGCUCUCACACACCAACCCUGCAACAUCCGUGGAGAAAACUCUCAGCAGCAACUCCUUUAAAAUACCGUCAUUUCAAACCAUUGUGGUCUUUAAGCAACAACAGCAGCACAAAAAACCCCAACCAAACAAAACUCUUGACAGAAGCUGUGACAACCAGAGAGGAUGCCUCAUAAAGGGGGAAGACUUUAACUAGGGGCGCGCAGAUGUGUGAGGCCUUUUAUUGUGAGAGUGGACAGACAUCCGAGAUUUCAGAGCCCCAUAUUCGAGCCCCGUGGAAUCCCGCGGCCCCCAGCCAGAGCCAGCAUGCAGAACAGUCACAGCGGAGUGAAUCAGCUCGGUGGUGUCUUUGUCAACGGGCGGCCACUGCCGGACUCCACCCGGCAGAAGAUUGUAGAGCUAGCUCACAGCGGGGCCCGGCCGUGCGACAUUUCCCGAAUUCUGCAGGUGUCCAACGGAUGUGUGAGUAAAAUUCUGGGCAGGUAUUACGAGACUGGCUCCAUCAGACCCAGGGCAAUCGGUGGUAGUAAACCGAGAGUAGCGACUCCAGAAGUUGUAAGCAAAAUAGCCCAGUAUAAGCGGGAGUGCCCGUCCAUCUUUGCUUGGGAAAUCCGAGACAGAUUACUGUCCGAGGGGGUCUGUACCAACGAUAACAUACCAAGUGUAAGUUCAUUGAGAACAUCUGCCCUCCCUGCCCUAAGCCCAAUGCUCUCUCCUCUUUACCUCCUCCCACCCACUUUCUCCACUGUCUCUUAGUCUGUGUCCUCUCCCUGCUCCACAUUUGUCUCCUUUGUACCUGGGGGAACAGAGAGGAAUGCCCUGACCUUUCUUUGACUGUCUGGAAAAUGGGAGUCAAGUGUGGGGAGUCGUUCACUUCAUUUGCAUGCUGCAAAACAGAGGGCGGAGGCACCAGGGAAAGGCACUUGAAUGAAGAAGAAAAAUGAGAACCAGAUUGUAACUUCGUCCCAAUCCACCUGCCAGAACUUUCCUUCAGGUGUCACACAUCCAUUUCCAUCCUAAUAUUAAACAAUAUGAUGAAAGAAAGCUUUACACCAAGUCUAAAUAGUUUUUAUUUUCGGGCAGUCUUUUAACAAAGCAAAGCAACCGUGUGAGUUAGGUCACCAGAGACACCAAGCAAUGGUGAAGGACCCCCUCCCCCCAAUUCUCUAUUCAACUAAACUUCCAUGCCCAAAAUGAUAGCUAUCAUUUUUUCCACGGUGUAUCUGCAAAUCCACCCACUGUCCCGGGGUGGCUGGGAGCUUUUUAAUGGGUUGAGAGUUGCUUUUUAAGGUGGUGGGUGAGCUGAGAUGGGUGACUGUGUCUUCAGGAGACACUACCAUUUGGUUUGAUUUUGGUUUGAUUUGCAGGUGUCAUCAAUAAACAGAGUUCUUCGCAACCUGGCUAGCGAAAAGCAACAGAUGGGCGCAGACGGCAUGUAUGAUAAACUAAGGAUGUUGAACGGGCAGACCGGAAGCUGGGGCACCCGCCCUGGUUGGUAUCCGGGGACUUCGGUGCCAGGGCAACCUACGCAAGAUGGCUGCCAGCAACAGGAAGGAGGGGGAGAGAAUACCAACUCCAUCAGUUCCAAUGGAGAAGAUUCAGAUGAGGCUCAAAUGCGACUUCAGCUGAAGCGGAAGCUGCAAAGAAAUAGAACAUCCUUUACCCAAGAGCAAAUUGAGGCCCUGGAGAAAGAGUUUGAGAGAACCCAUUAUCCAGAUGUGUUUGCCCGAGAAAGACUAGCAGCCAAAAUAGAUCUACCUGAAGCAAGAAUACAGGUAUGGUUUUCUAAUCGAAGGGCCAAAUGGAGAAGAGAAGAAAAACUGAGGAAUCAGAGAAGACAGGCCAGCAACACACCUAGUCAUAUUCCUAUCAGCAGUAGUUUCAGCACCAGUGUCUACCAACCAAUUCCACAACCCACCACACCUGUUUCCUCCUUCACAUCUGGCUCCAUGUUGGGCCGAACAGACACAGCCCUCACAAACACCUACAGCGCUCUGCCGCCUAUGCCCAGCUUCACCAUGGCAAAUAACCUGCCUAUGCAACCCCCAGUCCCCAGCCAGACCUCCUCAUACUCCUGCAUGCUGCCCACCAGCCCUUCGGUGAAUGGGCGGAGUUAUGAUACCUACACCCCCCCACAUAUGCAGACACACAUGAACAGUCAGCCAAUGGGCACCUCGGGCACCACUUCAACAGGACUCAUUUCCCCUGGUGUGUCAGUUCCAGUUCAAGUUCCUGGAAGUGAACCUGAUAU